Eucalyptus grandis is the source of this 2462-nucleotide long non-coding RNA. RefSeq lists it as uncharacterized. The transcript is spliced from 2 exons. The record is from RefSeq and is a predicted model, not a curated record. Lineage: Eukaryota; Viridiplantae; Streptophyta; Magnoliopsida; Myrtales; Myrtaceae.
AAAAAAGACAAAGGGACUAGAUUGAGACAUCUUACCUCGCAACAUUCAUCAUUGAGGUGAUAAAGAAAAAAGGCGAGAUGACGAGGACGAUGAGACUGAACACAUCGUCUUUCAAUGUUUCUUUAUACAUGAUCGAGACAUACACGUAGAGUCAUUGCGCGCAUCUUCUUCCCCACACGUACUCCGCGAUAUGGAGCCUGCACCGGAAAGACCCCGCGUGGCCCGUGGGCGAGCACAUGCACCGCCUCAUCACGCCGCCCCUGCUGCCGGCCUCAGGUGCCGCCUCCCUAGCCAGCACACCUGCCUCCGCUGUCGAACUGAUGCCCGUCACCGGCGAGACCUGCCAUCUCGAAGGCCGAGCCGGGUCCCCGAGGGAGGAAACUGGAACGUUCGGGUGGCACAUAUUGGCAACGCAAAGCCCUAGCAGCCAACGGGCCAGCAAAGAAUCUCUGUUGUUAUAUGGGAGGGGAGGGGGGUGGAGAAAGGGGAUCGGAAAGAAACGAAUAUGUGCAGUUGCGGAAUGAUGUAGCGGCAGAAGAAAGCGAAUGAGAAUGGGUGCUAGGUAAAGUUUCGGAAUCAAGUGCUUUAGUUUCGUCCAUCUUCUCCUUUGAUUCCCGGGAGAAUUCUGCCGCUUUCUAUUGGCUUUUCAACGAAGGGUUGUGAGAGGCCAGCGAGUCACAUCUAAGGACGCGAUGCUCGCCCAAGAACAACUUGAUCAAACGCAUCUCAGUUUUUGCCUUGACUUGAAAGAUCUUAGUUCGAACACUUGAGGUAGUGAGCGCCCACCAUCUUCGGCCAAGUGCUCCUAUGCGAGGUCGAUUUCUGUGGCCGACGAUUUUGUACAAAGAUUCGUUUUAAUAUGAGGCCUAAAUAUGAACCGGAGUUAAGGUUCGCAUCACAUGGUAGUCGUGUCGAUUGGUUUUUACUUCAUGCUUCGAAAUUUGGAUACCGUGCAUUGUUAACUCGCCGAGGUUUGAUGUCCCUGAUCGCUAAUGGGCAGCUCAGUGGACCAAAAACCACUUCUCGAGAGAAUGUUUUUAGUCUUCCCGACAUUCGAAUGGUGCCAAACUGAAGGAUCAAAGGACAACGAUUCCUGGUUUGAACUAGUUUUCGGCACAAGCAACUUAAAUGGGUGAUGGGUUCUCUCCCAAACGCAAUCCUUAAAACCUGAGUUCAGUUCCUCCUUUCGGGUAUUUCCGAUUCUGAUCGGACUCAAAACUUCGAUAAAACGACGACAACGGGAGUAUUCCCGAAUCUCUCGAUUCACACGGCUGAAAUACAUAGAGAUCAGCGCAGCUCAGCAGCCGUCCGCUUACGACAUUUGUACGACACCACCAUCUCCAGAACACCCAAGAAAACAUUGCCCUUUUUCGUCGAAAAACCAAACCCGAAAUUGGCUUCGACCACUUACCUUGUCUCGAUCGGGCUAUUCGCAAUGAAACGAAGGCGAAGUUAAGGUGGGUUCCGUCCGUUCUCAGCUGAAAUUCCACCCCAUCUGGAAUCUUCUGAUGCGGAAAUGGUUAUGGGAUUGCCUGUCCCGUCACGACUUCCUAAUGAGUUUGUUCGAUCCACGAGAGACGCUCGACCUGUUCUAGAACCUGGAGAAACGCGAGGGAAGGUUCGAGGUUUUGCCGAACGGAACUCUCGAGGAAGACGCGGGUUGAAAUGUUGACCAGAAUAAACAAAAGCUGAAGAGUCGCUCGGUUCCCACCAUCGGUCAAAAUCGAAACGCCAAUUCGCCACGAGGCAGCCCAGGAGUCGCCAUCGUCUCCCCAGGGGGCCGUGCCCGAGUCAAAGAAUAGAAGCCGCCAUCUCCGCCACCGCUAGUCAAAAAUUGAAAACUCAGCGUUCCCGACGUGUUUCUUCUCUCUCUCUCUCGACUUUCCAGGAAAAUGCAAAUUGACCCACCCUGCUCGCAUUCAUAUAAGGCCCUUUCAAGAUCCUGAACCGGCGUCCACGCAAAUCCUCCCAUCCCACCACUCUCUUUUUCCCCGUUUCGCUUCUCAGUUCCGAUCUCCGUCCAGGUCUCGCGAUUCUUCUGCUUUUGGAGCGUUUUUUUUCGCAAAGAUGAACGCGGUGAGAUCGUGCUUCAUACCAGUCAUCGUCGGGUUCAUGUUCUUGACCCUUCUUCAGCUCGGCUACGGACAGUCCAUGGUCCCGUCGCCCGCGCCGGAAGGUCCUUCCAACGAUGGGAAGGCGAUUGAUCAAGGAAUUGCAUACACCCUCCUGUUAGUUGCCCUUGCGGUCACAUAUCUCUUUCACUAGCUCCUCUUAGGUGCGGCCAUUCAUUCGAUCUGACCAUCCGAGCCGAUUCUUUGGGUUGGUUUCUUCCCCUGCGAUGGACGGACCUCCAUUAGGUCCAAUUCGCAGCGUGUUGUAACCCAUUUUGGGGGUGCUCUGUAGUCCUUGUAAUUAAAGCUAUGUCUUUUGAGAAAUUAAAUUAUCGAGCCAUUUUUUGCUAA